Long non-coding RNA from Hordeum vulgare subsp. vulgare (domesticated barley), 1423 nucleotides. RefSeq lists it as uncharacterized. The transcript is spliced from 6 exons. The record is from RefSeq and is a predicted model, not a curated record. Lineage: Eukaryota; Viridiplantae; Streptophyta; Magnoliopsida; Poales; Poaceae.
CCCUCUCCUACCUAAACCUAGAGCACGAAACACCCGCCUCCCUACGCACCGCCGCCCCUCUCUCUCCCUCUCCCAGAUCCAGAUCAAGGAUACCGCCACCUUCGGUGCCCAUGCCCCUCGUGCCCCUCCUCUCCCUCCGCCUCCGCUGUGGCCGGCUAACGCGCAGUCCUCGUCCUCCUCUGCCUCCUCAUCCUCCACGACCGUACGCACCAAGGCCGAGGCGCGAGCCCAGCGCGAGCCACUUCUGCUUGCCCUCGUCCCGCGGCAUGGGAGAGGAUGAGGACGAGCCCUCGUCACGCGGGGAGCUGCGUCACGCGUGCACGGGGAUGGGCGUGGCGCUGACCAGGCAUGUGAGCCAGCUCAAGAUUCGAAGGAUGGCAGUUCUUGUGGUGAGGCAGGGGCGCGAGCAGUAGCGGUGCAGCGCGAGCACCGGCAGGCGCAUCGUGGUGGGGUGCAUUCCGUACCGGGUAUGCGAGGGCGAGGGCGAGGGCGAGCUGGAGGUGCUGGUCAUCAGCUUGUGAAAGGGGCACGGCAUGAUGUUCCUCAAGUGCCAGCAAGGCCCUCGACGUCCUCAUCGACAUCUGCGGAAGUCAACUCCUCCCCCUUCGUUUUUUCUGAUGCAGGUUCAGGCGCGCAAGGUCGUCAUGUCCGAGGACGACACCGCGAGGGGGCUGGUCUAGCUCUUCGAUGACCAUGCCGUCACCGAGAUCGUCAUUGGCGCCAUUGCUGACCGGGGAUACACCAGGAAGUCGCGGACGCCGAAGUCCAAGAAGGCGGUGAGGGUGCAGCGGAAGGCCAACCCCUCUUCCAGGAUCUGGUUCGUCUACAAAGGAAACCUCAUCUGCACUAGGCUCGCGGUGAAGAACCUCAAGGCCGAGUAGGACCCCGGCAAGCCCAAGCGCACCUCAAGCACCUUCUUAGUCUUCAUGGCAGCCCUGGUUUCGAUUCGUUGGCGUGGUUCGGUUUGUGUUGCCUCUGUGGCAUCGUAACGUGUCCUGACUAGGGGCAGGGCAUUUUGGUUUUCUUUUCACAGGGAUAGCUUCAGCAAGGACUCCAACAUCAAGCAGGUUUCUCUGGUUGGCAAGGCCGGUGGUGAGAAGUGGAAGUCUCUUAGUGAUGCUAAGAAGGCUUCCUACUUUACCAAGGCUGAGCAGCUCAAGGUCGGGUACACGACGCCUACACGGAUUAGAAGAGUAGAAGCGGGGGAGGGGGUUUGAAGUCUUUGGAACUUCACCAUUGCUACGAAUUGCUAGUGUAAUUGAUUGAUGAUUGAUGGUUCUGUUGUUGGUAGAAAUGGUUAAAUCCUAUUAGGCGGUUGUUGUUGCUGGUAGAAAUGGUAGCUCUAGUCCCAUGUAGUGUAGUUCACGUGCUUGGGUUGCCCUAUGUUGCUUCAUGUUUAUGUUAAUUAAGUAUGUCAAAUGUA